CGACAGCAAUAUGAAGGUCAGGCUGAAGACCUUACCCGAUUAGCUGAGAGGUGGUGCAUGGCCGUCGUCAGUUCGUACUGUGAAGCAUCCUGUUAAGUCAGGCAACGAGCGAGACCCACGUCCACAGUUGCCAGCAUACCCUCCGGGGUGAUGGGUACACUGUGGAGACCGCCGCUGCUAAAGCGGAGGAAGGAGUGGGCAACGGUAGGUCAGUAUGCCCCGAAUCUCCCGGGCUACACGCGGGCUACAAUGGUUGGUACAAUGGGCAUCUACCCCGAAAGGGGAAGGAAAUCUCUUAAAGCCAAUCGUAGUUCGGAUUGAGGGCUGCAACUCGCCCUCAUGAAGCUGGAAUCCGUAGUAAUCGCGUUUCAACAGAACGCGGUGAAUACGUUCCCGGGCCUU
This 402-nucleotide ribosomal RNA is filed under the name uncultured Methanosaeta sp. RNAcentral's name for it is "bacterial SSU rRNA". It matches the Rfam family "Archaeal small subunit ribosomal RNA", at positions 937 to 1338 of the family's 1478-position model. Lineage: Archaea; Methanobacteriati; Methanobacteriota; Methanomicrobia; Methanotrichales; Methanotrichaceae. The record is from RNAcentral.